GAUUGGUGCCUUCGGGAACUCUGAGACAGGUGCUGCAUGGCUGUCGUCAGCUCGUGUUGUGAAAUGUUGGGUUAAGUCCCGCAACGAGCGCAACCCUUAUCCUUUGUUGCCAGCGGUUCGGCCGGGAACUCAAAGGAAACUGCCAGUGAUAAACUGGAAGAAGGGGGGGAUGACGUCCAGUCAUCAUGGCCCUUACGAGUAGGGCUACACACGUGCUACAAUGGCGCAUACAAAGAGAAGCGACCUCCCGAGAGCAAGCGGACCUCAUAAAGUGCGUCGUAAUCCGGAUUGGAGUCUGCAACUCCACUCCAUGAAGUCGGAAUCGCUAGUAAUCGUAGAUCAAAAUGCUACGG
This 353-nucleotide ribosomal RNA is filed under the name Cedecea sp. 202R. Its description in RNAcentral is "bacterial SSU rRNA". It matches the Rfam family "Bacterial small subunit ribosomal RNA", at positions 1009 to 1362 of the family's 1533-position model. The record is from RNAcentral. Lineage: Bacteria; Pseudomonadati; Pseudomonadota; Gammaproteobacteria; Enterobacterales; Enterobacteriaceae.